This 119-nucleotide ribosomal RNA is filed under the name Oncorhynchus mykiss (rainbow trout). Lineage: Eukaryota; Metazoa; Chordata; Actinopteri; Salmoniformes; Salmonidae. The record is from RNAcentral.
GCUUACGGCCACACCGGCCUGGUACGCCUGAUCUCGUCCGAUCUCGGAAGCUAAGCAGGGUCGGGCCUGGUUAGUACUUGGAUGGGAGACCGCCUGGGAAUACCAGGUGCUUGUAAGCU